CGUGUAGGCGGUUGGAAAAGUCAGGUGUGAAAUUCUUCGGCUCAACCGGGGGACUGCGCCUGAAACUUUCCGACUGGAGUUCGGGAGGGGCAUCUGGAAUUCCUGGUGUAACGGUGAAAUGUGUAGAUAUCAGGAGGAACACCCGUGGCGAAGGCGGGUUGCUGGACCGAAACUGACGCUGAGACGCGAAAGCGUGGGUAGCAAACA
Molecule: ribosomal RNA, 207 nt
Filed under: uncultured bacterium
Lineage: Bacteria
Description: partial 16S ribosomal RNA
Rfam family: Bacterial small subunit ribosomal RNA
Source: RNAcentral